Molecule: long non-coding RNA, 478 nt
Filed under: Pan troglodytes (chimpanzee)
Lineage: Eukaryota; Metazoa; Chordata; Mammalia; Primates; Hominidae
Description: long non-coding RNA NONPTRT005586
Source: RNAcentral
GGGAACGUUUAUUGCCUGCUGAAUCCAGAGCUGGAAACCAGGUCCAUUCUGUUCUGCAUCAGUAGAAACCAUACCUGUUUGCCAUUGUGAGUUACAGAUGACAGAAUGGUCCUCAGUGUCUUGAAGCCCAUUGCGAUGUCCAAUAGGUGAGCAGCAAAGAAGAAGUUAUUGUAGUGGCCCAGGACUGACAUGGUUGUAUACCAGGCAAGGUAGAGAAAGGACUGGGAAUGGAAGAAAGCAGACUUUUAAGCAUUUUUGCCUCAUAAUGUGCUCAUUAAACCAUUUUUUCUUAUUUUGGGGGACACACUGAGGAUAGAGGGGGUUUAGGUGCUGAGGUGCUAUGAGCUGGCCCAAGAUCUGCUAAGUGAGCCCCAUCUACCUUAUACCAUUGUCUAAGUGUUCCCCCAGCACGUAUAAGGCUCUUGGUCUUUGAUAAGCAAUCCCUGAACCCUUCUGAGCAUCCUGCAUAGCUUGCUUC